GGAGGUGCAAGCGUUGUCCGAUUUAUUGGGUUUAAAGGGUGCGUAGGCGGCCCGUUAAGUCAGUGGUGAAAGCCUCCAGCUCAACUGGAGAACUGCCAUUGAUACUGACGGGCUUGAGUACAGACGAGGUUGGCGGAAUUGAUUGUGUAGCGGUGAAAUGCAUAGAUACAAUCAAGAACACCGAUUGCGUAGGCAGCUAACUAGGCUGUAACUGACGCUGAGGCACGAAAGCGUGGGGAGCGAACAGGAUUAGAUACCCUGGUAGUCCACGCUGUAAACGAUGAUUACUCGAUGUCGGCGAUAAACUGUCGGCGUCUUAGCGAAAGCGUUAAGUAAUCCACCUGGGGAGUACGCCCGCAAGGGUG
This 365-nucleotide ribosomal RNA is filed under the name uncultured bacterium. RNAcentral describes it as "bacterial SSU rRNA". It matches the Rfam family "Bacterial small subunit ribosomal RNA", at positions 528 to 896 of the family's 1533-position model. The record is from RNAcentral.